GACGAACGCUGACGGUGUGCUUUAGACAUGCAAGUCGAGCGAGAAAGCCCUUCGGGGUUAGUAAAGCGGCGAACGGGUGAGUAACACGUGGGCAAUCUGCCCCUCGCAGGGGGACAACCGGGGGAAACUCCGGCUAAUACCCCGUAAGUUUCCAGAGUCGCAUGGCUUUGGAAAGAAAGGUAGCUUCGGCCAUCCGGCGAGGGAUGAGCCCGCGGUACAUUAGCUAGUUGGUGGGGUAACGGCCUACCAAGGCGGCGAUGUAUAGCUGGUCUGAGAGGAUGAUCAGCCACACUGGGACUGAGACACGGCCCAGACUCCUACGGGAGGCAGCAGUCGGGAAUCUUGCACAAUGGGCGAAAGCCUGAUGCAGCAACACCGUGUGAGCAAUGAAGGCCC
This 396-nucleotide ribosomal RNA is filed under the name uncultured bacterium. RNAcentral describes it as "bacterial SSU rRNA". It matches the Rfam family "Bacterial small subunit ribosomal RNA", at positions 28 to 417 of the family's 1533-position model. The record is from RNAcentral.